RNAcentral lists this ribosomal RNA (253 nucleotides) under uncultured bacterium. Its description in RNAcentral is "partial 16S ribosomal RNA". It matches the Rfam family "Bacterial small subunit ribosomal RNA", at positions 524 to 776 of the family's 1533-position model. The record is from RNAcentral.
UACGUAGGGGGCAAGCGUUGUCCGGAUUUACUGGGCGUAAAGCGCGUGUAGGCGGCCACGCAGGUCCGUUGUGAAAACUGGAGGCUCAACCUCCAGACGUCGACGGAAACCGUGCGGCUAGAGUCCGGAAGAGGAGAGUGGAAUUCCUGGUGUAGCGGUGAAAUGCGCAGAUAUCAGGAGGAACACCAGUGGCGAAGGCGACUACCUGGCCUGUUCUUGACGCUGAGGCGCGAAAGCUAGGGGAGCAAACGGG